Molecule: ribosomal RNA, 250 nt
Filed under: uncultured bacterium
Lineage: Bacteria
Description: partial 16S ribosomal RNA
Rfam family: Bacterial small subunit ribosomal RNA
Source: RNAcentral
UACGUAGGGUGCGAGCGUUGUCCGGAAUUAUUGGGCGUAAAGAGCUUGUAGGCGGUUUGUCGCGUCUGCUGUGAAAAUCCGGGGCUCAACCCCGGACUUGCAGUGGGUACGGGCAGACUAGAGUGUGGUAGGGGAGACUGGAAUUCCUGGUGUAGCGGUGGAAUGCGCAGAUAUCAGGAGGAACACCAUGCGAAGGCAGGUCUCUGGGCCACACUGACGUGAGGAGCGAAAGCGUGGGGAGCGAAACAGG